ACUAAAUAAUUUAUUAUGUCCUAAUAUGUAAAACCUUAAGAUUUAUAGGGUGUAUUUGGUUUUGACCAUGACUGUAGCUUGCGGCUAUGAAAUGGAGAAAUAACAUUGGCGUGUUAUGUAACAGGCUGGACAUAUCACAAUGAUCAACCAAAUUUGGAUCCUGAAGAGGAGUUUUUUUGGGGGGGGGUUCCAAUCCUUGAUGGACCCGGACAACAGAAAGAGCUAAAACAGCUAUUCUCGGAAUAAAGUGAGGGGCUGUUUCAAGGCACGGUGCCGAGCAGUUUAAUCCUUACCUGCAGCAUGUAGCUGUGAUAGUCCUUGAUCCUCACUUGCCAGAAUCGUUGCAAGGCCAGGACGCUGCCAAUUCCCACCUCAUGGAAUACCUGCUCCACCACAUCUGGGAAGGGACUGGCUCCCAGUCGAGCCUCCCUGUCGACUGUCACCCGCAGCAGGCGGGUUAGGCGCAGGUAAUGCUCGUGGACCAGGUCCGUGAGCGUCUCCA
Long non-coding RNA from Oreochromis niloticus (Nile tilapia), 502 nucleotides. RefSeq lists it as uncharacterized. The record is from RefSeq and is a predicted model, not a curated record. Lineage: Eukaryota; Metazoa; Chordata; Actinopteri; Cichliformes; Cichlidae. The transcript is spliced from 2 exons.